Molecule: ribosomal RNA, 407 nt
Filed under: uncultured bacterium
Lineage: Bacteria
Description: bacterial SSU rRNA
Rfam family: Bacterial small subunit ribosomal RNA
Source: RNAcentral
ACCUAAGAGAUUAGGCGUAUCCCUUCGGGGACGGAAUGACAGGUGGUGCAUGGUUGUCGUCAGCUCGUGUCGUGAGAUGUUGGGUUAAGUCCCGCAACGAGCGCAACCCUUAUUGUCAGUUGCCAGCAUUUAGUUGGGCACUCUGGCGAGACUGCCGGUGACAAACCGGAGGAAGGUGGGGAUGACGUCAAAUCAUCAUGCCCCUUAUGACCUGGGCUACACACGUGCUACAAUGGACGGUACAACGAGUCGCGAAACCGCGAGGUCAAGCUAAUCUCUUAAAGCCGUUCUCAGUUCGGAUUGUAGGCUGCAACUCGCCUACAUGAAGUUGGAAUCGCUAGUAAUCGUGGAUCAGCAUGCCACGGUGGAAUACGUUCCCGGGUCUUUGUCCCACCGAAAUCAAUUUC